This 778-nucleotide long non-coding RNA is filed under the name Mytilus galloprovincialis (Mediterranean mussel). The record is from RNAcentral. Lineage: Eukaryota; Metazoa; Mollusca; Bivalvia; Mytilida; Mytilidae.
UGCAGUAAGCUUGGUUGUACAAUGUAGCAAUUUUUUGUCAGCUGAACACCAAGUUAAUAUUUUGUCUUCGUUAUUUUGAGUUUACUUUUUCUGACAUCGUCCCAGGAUUUAUUAUAUCCAAUACAAGACGAAGUUAACUAUUUUCUUUGUUUAAUCUCAAAUCCAUAGAUUCACAAUUCAUGACUUUUCUAUGGCUGAUCUCACUAACCUCAGACAAUAUAUCAGUAAAAAGUUCUCAAUUGAUCUGUGCCUUACAUAAAUUUAUUCCUGUAAUAGCAAACAACCUGGAAAUUUGUGUAUCGAUAGAGAUGACAGGGAGUUCAAAAUAAAUUGAACUGUGAUCAAUGUUGAUAUCCUCCAAACAGUACUCGGUAAACAGAAAUGUGAUAAGCAAUAGCUGUGAAAAGAUUUAUGAUAUGGAAACAGUAGAACUUACUUUCAGACUUUAGGUAGAUAUAAACUGAUGUUUAUUUACCAAAUAGAUACAACCUGCAUUGGCAGAUCCAAGGUGGGGGGGGUCUGGGGGUUGGAACCCCCCUUGUUUUGGCCGCUCAAUGCAUUUGAAUGGGGACAUAUAGUUGAAACCCCCCCUUUGUCCUGGGUUGGGAACCCCCCUUUUUAAAAUGGCUGGAUCCCCCCUGACCAGAACUGAAGUUCAAAAGAAGUAUAACUGUGAUCGUUUGCUCAUUAUUGAUACCACUGCAAUCUCUACUUGGUAAACAAAAAAUUAACAAACAAUAGAAGUAAAAAUGCAUCAUAUUUUUCAUUGACAGGUUGG